CAACGAGCCUGCACACAAUCAGGAAUCAAAACACCAGAACUUGACGAGAGGGAGCGACAUAAAAGACCCGUGAAGCCAAGAGACCUUCGCCAGAACGUAGCCAAUCUCCCUUGACCCCCGACCGCUUGCCUCACUGUUGACUGCCUCUUUGCCUUCCCACUUGGAUUCAACGAAAGAUACAUCCAACACGCAGAGACAACACCCUCUGAACCCUGCCGAGAGUAUAGAGCUGGUCCACAGUUCCACGACCAGGACGAAAACCACACUGUUCCUCCUGAAUCCGAGGUUCGACUAUCCGACGUAGCCUCCUCUCCAGUACACCUGAAUAAACCUUACCGGGAAGGCUGAGGAGUGUGAUCCCACGAUAGUUAGAACACACCCUGCGGUCCCCGUUCUUAAAGAGAGGAACCACCACCCCGGUCUGCCAAUCCAGAGGUACCGCCCCCGAUGUCCACGCGAUGCUGCAAAGUCUUGUCAACCAAGACAGCCCCACAGCAUCCAGAGCCUUAAGGAACUCCGGCAGGGUUCUUGAGGGUGCAUGAGAGUUUGCCCAACCAGUCUACAUGUGCUUUGUGGACUUGGAGAAGGCAUUCGACCGUGUCCCUCGGGAAGUCCUGUGGGGAGUGCUCAGAGAGUAUGGGGUAUCGGACUGUCUUAUUGUGGCGGUCCGUUCCCUGUACGAUCAGUGCCAGAGCUUGGUUCGCAUUGCCGGCAGUAAGUCGAACACAUUUCCAGUGAGGGUUGGACUCCGCCAAGGCUGUCCUUUGUCACCCAUUCUGUUCAUAACU
Nerophis ophidion (straightnose pipefish) is the source of this 788-nucleotide long non-coding RNA. RefSeq lists it as uncharacterized. The transcript is spliced from 3 exons. The record is from RefSeq and is a predicted model, not a curated record. Lineage: Eukaryota; Metazoa; Chordata; Actinopteri; Syngnathiformes; Syngnathidae.